Long non-coding RNA from Strigops habroptila (Kakapo), 1425 nucleotides. RefSeq lists it as uncharacterized. The transcript is spliced from 9 exons. The record is from RefSeq and is a predicted model, not a curated record. NCBI's taxonomy places the organism in Eukaryota, Metazoa, Chordata, Aves, Psittaciformes, Psittacidae.
AGUUGAGAAUCAAAGACGGGGAUCACUGAUCAAAUUGAGGGCAGCAAUUUAACAGCAUCUUGCAUAAAAGAUUUGGAGGAACCUUUGAAAUACCUGUUGGCAAAACCUGAUGAGAAGACAGCGACAUGCUUGAAACAGAAAUUUGAAGAACAAAAGCUGUUGCCAUUUCUGAGAGAUGAUAAGAAGAUGACAAGACCUACAGCUAUCUACAAGGAGGAACAAAGAAGGAGACAACCAAGAGCUGUGGAUCUGGAGAAGCUGACACUGAUAACGCCCGUCCCACAUCUGAAGCGUCCCUGUUUAUCCCCAAAGGCCAUCAGUUCAGCUCGUGGCUAAGGAAGAAGGAGAAUUGAGAGAAAGAGAACACAUUUUCAGUACCAGAUCAACACUUCAGGCAGAUAGAAGGGUGGGCAGCCAUCCGAGGGGAAGCUUUAAUUUGAGAGAGUCUGUGCUUAACAGCAGCAGUCCAGAGCCCUGCCAUGUCCUUUCCAUCGACUCCUUUUGUUUCUUUCUAAGAAAAAUAUUGUCAGGAGGUCUUUCACAGGGGAGAAGUCAAGGAGGGUAACAGUAAAUCUGCUUGCAGCAGCGAUGGCCAGCCCAGCUCCUGGCUGAUGGCAGCCUUGUGCCGACAGCCUGGCAAAUGAUCCCAAGCCAGAAACAGGACAAAGGACAGUGGUUUUUGGCAAUGCCACCCUCAGGCACUCAGCUGCCAUGGAGGAACUGCGAUCCUGGGGAAAUGAGCCACCUCUCUGCUUGGAGGAGGAGCAGAGUUUACACAUGGGCCCUGGUGCUUGGAGAAUGACUCAAAAUCAGAACAAGGUCCAGAAGGAAAUGAGGAAACUUACAGCAUGAAUGGUACACAUCAGUGAUGUCUGCUGAUACACAGCCAUGUGGGGCAGGGUGAAGCUUGCGCCAGUGACAACCACAAGAGGAGGUGUCUGCUCGGAUGGUUUCAGAAGGCUGUCUACGCUCAGAGGAAGGAUUCAGGGAUGCCAUGAGUGCUUUGAAACACAAAGCAAUGAUGUGCCAUUCAGCACAGCUGUCAAGUGGGGAGCCCAGUCGUGCCGUCUGCUAUGGUAGAAGCUGAGCCAGUCUGGGUGUUACGUGGUGGCCCACAGGCUGGGACAUCAUUGGAGGCUCAGGAGCUGCGGUCCCCAGGUGAGUGAGGAACAAAGGCCUGAGCUGUUUGAGGGCUCUGUCUCCUUUUUGGCCAACCUUCAACAUCAGUUUUGCCCUGGGAAGGAGCAAGGUGUGACUGCAGGAGAACAACAGAUUAAGGUAAGAGGGAGCAGGGAAUGCUCUGGGGCUGUACCAGCACUCCAGAGUGUUCCCAGGAACCUGCUGGGGCAUCUGUGUAGGGAGGUUAAAAAAACAAACAACUUCCUGCCUGUCCCUCCAAAAAAACCAACCCCAAACCCACCCUGC